UGGGGAAUAUUGCACAAUGGGCGCAAGCCUGAUGCAGCCAUGCCGCGUGUAUGAAGAAGGCCUUCGGGUUGUAAAGUACUUUCAGCGGGGAGGAAGGUGUUGUGGUUAAUAACCACAGCAAUUGACGUUACCCGCAGAAGAAGCACCGGCUAACUCCGUGCCAGCAGCCGCGGUAAUACGGAGGGUGCAAGCGUUAAUGGGAAUUACUGGGCGUAAAGCGCACGCAGGCGGUCUGUCAAGUCGGAUGUGAAAUCCCCGGGCUCAACCUGGGAACUGCAUCCGAAACUGGCAGGCUUGAGUCUUGUAGAGGGGGGUAGAAUUCCAGGUGUAGCGGUGAAAUGCGUAGAGAUCUGGAGGAAUACCGGUGGCGAAGGCGGCCCCCUGGACAAAGACUGACGCUCAGGUGCGAAAGCGUGGGGAGCAAACA
RNAcentral lists this ribosomal RNA (427 nucleotides) under uncultured bacterium. Its description in RNAcentral is "partial 16S ribosomal RNA". It matches the Rfam family "Bacterial small subunit ribosomal RNA", at positions 355 to 774 of the family's 1533-position model. The record is from RNAcentral.